Molecule: ribosomal RNA, 778 nt
Filed under: uncultured Neocallimastigales
Lineage: Eukaryota; Fungi; Neocallimastigomycota; Neocallimastigomycetes; Neocallimastigales
Description: partial large subunit ribosomal RNA
Rfam family: Eukaryotic large subunit ribosomal RNA
Source: RNAcentral
UAUGUGAUCGUCUCUCGCAUAUCAAUAAGCGGAGGAAAAGAAACUAACAAGGAUUCCCCUAGUAACGGCGAGUGAAGCGGGAAGAGCUCAAAUUUGAAAUCUUAAAGGGUUUCCCUUUACGAAUUGUAGUUUAAAGAAGUGUUUUCUGUUGAGGUUUUGGUAAAAGUUCUUUGGAAUAGGACAUCAUAGAGGGUGAGAAUCCCGUAUUUGACCUUUACUUUCAACUUUGUGAUACACUUUCAAAGAGUCGGAUUGUUUGGGAAUGCAGUCCCCAGAAAUGGGUGGUAAAUUUCAUCUAAAGCUAAAUAUUGGCGAGAGACCGAUAGCGAACAAGUAUCCGUGAGGGAAAGAUGAAAAGAACUUUGAAAAGAGAGUUAAACAGUACGUGAAAUUGUCAAAAGGGAAGCGUUUGACACCAGUGUUGUUUUUCUGAAAAUCAAUUAAAGAACUGUUUAUGCUAAGUUGUUUAGACUUUAUCAGCUAUCUGUUUAGUUUUGAGCUUUUCUUUAAUGCACUUUUCAGUUAACAAGUCAACAUCAAUUUCUUUUGCUGUAAAAAAGCUUGAGGAAGGUGGCUUGAGAUUCGUCUUAAGUGUUUAUAGCCUCUUGCCUAUGCAGUCGGAGAGAUUGAGGUCUGCAGCGUAGAUCCUUCGGGGCUAAAUGCAUUUGUGCUAAGUUAUAGCAUUUUAUAGACAACUUGUUGACUAUGAUUUGUCUUGUAGCUUACUCGCUUAUGUUAUUUUACCUACGCUUAGGAUGUUGAUCUACAGAGCGAGAGU